Molecule: non-coding RNA, 1161 nt
Organism: Cricetulus griseus (Chinese hamster)
Lineage: Eukaryota; Metazoa; Chordata; Mammalia; Rodentia; Cricetidae
Source: RefSeq, a predicted model, not a curated record
CCUGGCCUGAGACCCCGGAUACUUGAGUUUUCGGGGGUCUAACAGUGUCAAGCUCCCCACCUCCUGCCCCAUGCUUUCUGGCUACACAGACAAACCUCUUUGGGGCAGGAGCUCCACCCAGUCACUGUAAUUCCUCUACCGACCAACAUUUUGAUUAAAUGUGUUCUUCUAGGAUAAAAGCUUUAUUAGUAUCCAGUUGUAGCCCCUUCUGCUUUGAUAACUGCCUGACACAUCAUUUCAUUUGAUUUAUUGCCCCACCGAACAUGUGCCAUGAGACUCCUCCUCACUCACAUCCAGACCAAACGCAACAAAAAACUUGGAGGCAGGCUGAGUCUUCAGGUAUCUCCAGUUCAUUCUUUCCAACUCUUGUUCCUCACCACAGGAAAAGACAACCUAGAAGGAAGAAGAAGUCAAAGCAAAACACAAGGGAACACAGACUUGCACUCGGAACACCCUUCAAGGGUCACUGUUCAGAACCCAUGAAGUCAAGUUUCCUCUGCUCUGUGCUGGGGACCUUGGCUACCAGAUGUGAUGAGAAAAAGGAAGCUCAUGUGGCCCCAGCACUGGGAAGACCAGGGCAAGAAGAUUCCCCUGAGUUCCAGAUCAACCCGAGAUACAGUGUGAGACCCUGCUCCCAGCCCCCUAGAAAGUGAAAUCUACAGUUCCAGUCUUUCCCUGGAGGGUUGGUUCCUGCAGAGCCACGGGUCUGCAGUCCACAUUGGAGGGCCAAGGAAGCUGUGUUCUGAUGCCAGAAGAAGAAUGGCAGCAGUGGCCAUCAACAGGGUGGAUGUACUCAUGAGCAAGAAGGGAAGGCAGGCAAACCUUUUCCUCUGGCUGGAAACUGCUGCCCACUUGGGGGUGGGGGUGGGGGGGCUCCCCCUCCCAUUUACUCCUGUCUGGAAAUCCCUCCCCCACAGACCCACCCAGAAGCACAAGUCUUAGUUUCUUCCUGAUCCAAUCAGCCUGACAAUGAAGAUUAACCACUAUGCCCUUCAAAGUCUUGAUGCUCUGGUUUAGGGGUGAAAGGCACGAAAGGGGCCAUGAUUCCUGCUUCUACUGUCUUCUCAGAUGCUACAGUGCCAUGUUUGGGAGUAAUGUAUCUUUUUUUUAAUUUUUUUUUUUUAUUAGUUCAAGUUAGGGAACAAGCUUGUUUCUUCUGCA